GAUGAAUGCUGGCGGCGUGCCUAACACAUGCAAGUCGAGCGGCAGCGCGAGUAGUUUACUACUUGGCGGCGAGCGGCGAACGGCUGAGUAACGCGUAGGAAUGUGCCCCAAAGUGAGGAAUAACUGCCCGAAAGGGUAGCUAAUGCCGCAUAUGGUCUUCGGAUUAAAGGAUUUAUCCGCUUUGGGAGCAGCCUGCGUACGAUUAGAUAGUUGGUGAGGUAAUGGCUCACCAAGUCGACGAUCGUUAGCUGGUCUGAGAGGAUGAUCAGCCAGACUGGAACUGAGACACGGUCCAGACUCCUACGGGAGGCAGCAGUGAGGAAUCUUCCACAAUGGGCGAAAGCCUGAUGGAGCAACGCCGCGUGAAGGAUGAAGGCCCUCGGGUCGUAAACUUCUUUUAUGAGUGAAGAAUAUGACGGUAACUCAUGAAUAAGCACCGGCUAACUACGUG
This 451-nucleotide ribosomal RNA is filed under the name uncultured bacterium. RNAcentral describes it as "bacterial SSU rRNA". It matches the Rfam family "Bacterial small subunit ribosomal RNA", at positions 28 to 507 of the family's 1533-position model. The record is from RNAcentral.